AUACGGAGGAUGCGAGCGUUAUCCGGAUUUAUUGGGUUUAAGGGGAGCGUAGGUGGGAUAUUAAGUCAGCUGUGAAAGUUUGGGGCUCAACCUUAAAAUUGCAGUUGAUACUGGUUUCCUUGAGUACGGUACAGGUGGGCGGAAUUCGUGGUGUAGCGGUGAAAUGCUUAGAUAUCACGAAGAACUCCGAUCGCGAAGGCAGCUCACCGGGCCGGAACUGACACUGAUGCUCGAAAGUGCGGGUAUCAAACAGGAUUAGAUACCCUGGUAGUCCGCACAGUAAACGAUGAAUACUCGCUGUUUGCGAUACACUGUAAGCGGCCAAGCGAAAGCGUUAAGUAUUCCACCUGGGGAGUACGCCGGCAACGGUGAAACUCAAAGGAAUUGGCGGGG
Molecule: ribosomal RNA, 393 nt
Filed under: uncultured bacterium
Lineage: Bacteria
Description: partial 16S ribosomal RNA
Rfam family: Bacterial small subunit ribosomal RNA
Source: RNAcentral